CACCGGCGGCUCGAGUGGUGGCCACUUUUAUUGGGUCUAAAGCGUCCGUAGCCGGCUUGGCAAGUCCCCUGGGAAAUCUGGCGGCUUAACCGUCAGGCGUCCAGAGGAUACUGCCAGGCUUGGGACCCGGAGAGGUGAGAGGUACCUCAGGGGUAGGGGUGAAAUCUUGUGAUCCCUGAGGGACCACCAGUGGCGAAGGCGUCUCACUAGAACGGGUCCGACGGUCAGGGACGAAAGCUGGGGGCACGAACCGG
RNAcentral lists this ribosomal RNA (254 nucleotides) under uncultured microorganism. RNAcentral describes it as "partial 16S ribosomal RNA". It matches the Rfam family "Archaeal small subunit ribosomal RNA", at positions 474 to 727 of the family's 1478-position model. The record is from RNAcentral.